RNAcentral lists this ribosomal RNA (626 nucleotides) under bacterium. RNAcentral describes it as "partial 23S ribosomal RNA". It matches the Rfam family "Bacterial large subunit ribosomal RNA", at positions 2305 to 2925 of the family's 2925-position model. The record is from RNAcentral.
GGCGCCCUAAGGUUCCUUCAGCGCGGUUGGAAAUCGCGCGUAGAGUGUAAAGGCAGAAGGGAGCUUGACUGCAAGACAUACAAGUCGAGCAGGUGCGAAAGCAGGGCUUAGUGAUCUUACGGUUCUGUAUGGAAAGGCCGUGACUCAACGGAUAAAAGGUACUCCGGGGAUAACAGGCUAAUCGCUCCCAAGCGCUCAUAGCGACGGAGCGGUUUGGCACCUCGAUGUCGGCUCAUCACAUCCUGGGGCCGUAGCAGGUCCCAAGGGUUCGGCUGUUCGCCGAUUAAAGUGGUACGUGAGCUGGGUUUAGAACGUCGCAAGACAGUUCGGUCCCUAUCUGUUGUGGGCGUAGGAUAUUUGAGAGGAGCUGUCCCUAGUAUGAGAAGACCGGGAUGGACGAGUCUAUAGUGUGCCAGUUGUCACGCCAGUGGCAUUGCUGGGUAGCUACGCUCGGAAGGGAUAAACGCUGAAAGCAUCUAAGUGUGAAGCCCACCUCAAGAUUAGAUAUCCCACAGAGUCAAUCUGGUAAGGCCCCUUUGAGAUUAAAAGGUUGAUAGGCCAGAGGUGUAAGCAGUGUGAACUGUUGAGCUUACUGGUACUAAUUGGCCGAGGGCUUGACAAUAUCU